UGGGGAAUUUUGGACAAUGGGCGAAAGCCUGAUCCAGCAAUGCCGCGUGUGUGAAGAAGGCCUUCGGGUUGUAAAGCACUUUUGUCCGGAAAGAAAUGGCUCUGGUUAAUACCUGGGGUCGAUGACGGUACCGGAAGAAUAAGGACCGGCUAACUACGUGCCAGCAGCCGCGGUAAUACGUAGGGUCCAAGCGUUAAUCGGAAUUACUGGGCGUAAAGCGUGCGCAGGCGGUUGUGCAAGACCGAUGUGAAAUCCCCGAGCUUAACUUGGGAAUUGCAUUGGUGACUGCACGGCUAGAGUGUGUCAGAGGGGGGUAGAAUUCCACGUGUAGCAGUGAAAUGCGUAGAGAUGUGGAGGAAUACCGAUGGCGAAGGCAGCCCCCUGGGAUAACACUGACGCUCAUGCACGAAAGCGUGGGGAGCAAACAGGAUUAGAUACCCUGGUAGUCCACGCCCUAAACGAUGUCAACUAGUUGUUGGGGAUUCAUUUCCUUAGUAACGUAGCUAACGCGUGAAGUUGACCGCCUGGGGAGUACGGUCGCAAGAUUAAAAGCUCAAAUGAAUUGACGGGGUCUAGCUGUUUCC
RNAcentral lists this ribosomal RNA (584 nucleotides) under uncultured bacterium. RNAcentral's name for it is "partial 16S ribosomal RNA". It matches the Rfam family "Bacterial small subunit ribosomal RNA", at positions 355 to 931 of the family's 1533-position model. The record is from RNAcentral.